GUGAAGCGGCAACAGCUCAAAUUUGAAAUCUGGCGCCCCUGGGCGUCCGAGUUGUAAUUUGCAGAGGAUGCUUCGGGAUCGGCGCUGCCCCAGGUUCUUUGGAACAGGACGCCAUAGAGGGUGAGAGCCCCGUCUCUGGGCGGCAGCCGAAACCGUGUGAAGCGCCUUCGACGAGUCGAGUUGUUUGGGAAUGCAGCUCAAAACGGGAGGUAAAUUUCUUCCAAGGCUAAAUACAGGCCGGAGACCGAUAGCGCACAAGUAGAGUGAUCGAAAGAUGAAAAGUACUUUGGAAAGAGAGUCAAACAGCGCGUGAAAUUGUUGAAAGGGAAGCGCUUGCAGUCAGACUUGGCCGCCCGGUUCGGCGGGGCCUCGCGCCCCGUCUCCGCCGUGGCGGUCAGGCCAGCAUUGGUUCGGGCGACCGGAGAAAGGCUGCGGGAAUGUGGCUCCUCUCGGGGAGUGUUAUAGCCCGCGGCAGAAUACGGCCAGCCCGGACCAAGGAACGCGCUUCGGCUCGGAUGCUGGCGUAAUGGCUGCAAGCGGCCCGUCUUGAAACACGGACCAAGGAGUCUAACAUCUGUGCGAGUGUUUGGGUGUCAAGCCCUUACGCGCAAUGAAAGUGAACGGAGGUGGGAGCCCUCGGGCGCACCAUCGACCGAUCCUGAUGUCUUCGGAAGGAUUUGAGUAAGAGCACAGCUGUUGGGACCCGAAAGAUGGUGAACUAUGCCUAAGCAGGGUGAAGCCAGAGGAAACUCUGGUGGAGGCUCGCAGCGGUUCUGACGUGCAAAUCGAU
RNAcentral lists this ribosomal RNA (790 nucleotides) under Gonatophragmium triuniae. Its description in RNAcentral is "LSU rRNA". It matches the Rfam family "Eukaryotic large subunit ribosomal RNA", at positions 93 to 902 of the family's 3401-position model. Lineage: Eukaryota; Fungi; Ascomycota; Dothideomycetes; Acrospermales; Acrospermaceae. The record is from RNAcentral.